This is a long non-coding RNA of Phlebotomus papatasi, 2438 nucleotides long. RefSeq lists it as uncharacterized. The record is from RefSeq and is a predicted model, not a curated record. The transcript is spliced from 3 exons. NCBI's taxonomy places the organism in Eukaryota, Metazoa, Arthropoda, Insecta, Diptera, Psychodidae.
GGGGUGUCAUUCCACAGAUUUCCAGUAAUUUUAGAACUGUGCGCAACUCGUCUGAAGCUCUCAGUUGCACUUGUGGACCGAAAUAAAGCCGUAUGCAGCCUCCACACUUCAAUCCAUAAAAUAUUUCACGGAAAAGUGCCUCAAAAGUGAAGCGCUCGAAGUACGUGCGAUCCUUUGCUAAAGACUCCCUACCAAUCGCAUUCAUUGGUACCACAUCUUUUGAUGGAAAGCAAUAUGCAGAACUACUUGAGUGUGACCAUCUCUGUUCUCACAUGUCACGAUAAAGAGCCUAUUUUUAUUUUAGAUGGAAACAGUCAAUGAGAAUGGAUAUGCAACAUCAUACGGUGUAAGAAAUCCAGGCAAAGGACACAUGAAGAUGUCAAUCGUAUUACCAAAGCUGAUUCGAAAUAAGUUUUGAAAGUAUUAUAGAAACAAAUUCUACUCCAAUGCAACGAAUAAGUUAGAGUUAGCAAUUAUGUUUUAUUAUUUCUUACUAUUUUUAUGCAGAAUUAAGAAAAAUGAUGGACUUGAUCUUUAAUUGUUUCGAAUAAUUAUAAAAAGUAAUGAAUUUAUCCUAAUUUAUAGAUAGCUAUUUUUAAAAUAAAUUUAUUCUCUAUUAAAAUUUUUGUUUUUUUAACCUACUUCAAUUCAAUUUGCAAGUUUGUGGCAAAAUAUUUAAAUUGUGUCUCGUGUUGGAUUCACAUAAUGAUUUAUACUUGAAAUUCUCCUAGAUCUUUGCAAAAAAAAAACUUCUGGGUAAAUUUCUGUCUCGCUUCAUAAAAGGACAUAAAAUAGAAAAGAUUUCAGCAUCUUACCUCGAAAUAAUUUAGAUUACAGUUCUUCAAUAACUUGCCAAUUUUAGUGUGACAGAACUGUCAGAUCUUCAGUAGAAAUCUGAUUUCUUCAGAAGAAAUGGUAAACUUCACAGAUGUGAUAAUCUUAUAAUGUGAGUAUUUUCUUACCCAAAAUAUUCUAUUUGAUUUGAUUUGAGAUUCUAUUUAAUGAAUAUAAUAUUACUGGUUUGAUAUUUCGUUAGCAUUAUAGUAAAUGUAACACUUGAUGCUGAUAUUUAAACAUAAGUUAAAAAACAAUUCCUUAUUUUUGUAUUUUCAUAUGCAUUCUAUAAAAUUUAUUACCACAACGAAGCAAAAAUAAUGAGGAAUAAUAGAUGUAUAGGGUAAAUGUCCUAAUUAGAAAUCAUUUCCAGAUCCAGAUGCUUUAAUUUUGACAGAAGAUUCAACACAUUAAGUUCAUAUUUUUUCUGAAGAGAAUUACAUAAAUUUGCUCCUUGACUCUUCUAGAAUGUUACUGUUUAGUGAAAAUUCUUUGGAUAUAAUUUGAAAACUUCUUAAAUACAAGAAAAAUUCGCGAGCGUAAAAUGUUUCUAUUGGAAAUAUAUUAAUCCAAAUGGAGACAAGGGAAAGUUUCUAAUUGGAGACAAACAGUGUAAGUGAAACAGCGACGAAAGGCUUCCAAAACCUUGUUAAGUUGCUCCUGAGUGCAGGAUUUGUUCUUAUUCCUGGUCUUUUCUUCUUUCCCAUCUAAAACAAUAAGAAAAUCUCUCCAAAAAAAAUCAUAUUUCCGGGGUUUCGUAUUGAAGCAUUUGCAGACACUUCAGAAAAACCCUUUUUGUUCACGAAAUAGGUGAUUAUUUCAUUUGAAAACUUCACGUAUCGUUAACAAUAAAGGUUAGCACUUAAUUUAACUAAAAUUAGCCAGAAAUAUGACAUAAAUGUUAAACAAAACGAAUAAAUAACAGUCACUUUAUUGUGUUUUUCAUUGGAAAACAUGGUCGAUCGAUGAAAAAUUCAAUGAUGAAAAGAUACACUUUUAAUUUUUCUGAGAAAUGAAUAAAUUAAAAUUUGUGAAUAUGAAUGGAUUUUCGCUUUACUUGGAGCAAAAUUAACUAAAUAAUGAAACUGUGGUAUAGGAAAUAUAUAAAUAUAAAAAUUUAAUGCUGUCUUUAUUAUGAAAAAAUUGACGUUUCCAUUUGGGGUAGCAAAAGAUUUCCAUUUGGAGCAGGUUUUGAAUUAGCUUAAUUUACCCUAAAGAAACAGUAAUUCUGACAAUAAAAAAGCAUACAAAUCCUGAAAACAUUGGAAAUGAUAUUUUUAGCGAAAGUGAGAAAAUAAUUCAUUUCAAAAUGGAAUAAUUUUACGUCGUAUUCUAUAAUUCUAAUACACUCAGCAAAAAAUAUAUAAAAUAAAAUUCUUCUUCUUCUUCUUCUUCGCUUUAAAGUUUUAGGCCGGACGUUCUGACAACAUCCACACAGCCUAUUAAAUAAAAAUAAAUACCAAAAGAUUUUACCCCUAAUUACAUCCCUGUCGAAGCGCCAUCUCUAACAAAUUAGAUGUACACAACGGGUACUUGAAAAAUAACGAAAAUUUUUAAAAUAACACUAAAAAAAGAACUCACAGUGCAACUUCUAACUGUGGGGG